GUUUUUCUUUUUUUCUCUCCUGCGUCAGAGGGAAAUGAUUCCUUUCCCCUUUUUUCAUCUGAUAAGAGCGGAGAAACAGCUCUUUCCCUUUGAAUCUGAGCAACAAUACUGGAGGGAAGCCAUCAGAAUGUCACACUCUGCUUUAGCCACCGUAUUUGAGAGGACAGUGACCAGACUGGCGCUUGUUCAGAGGAGGGACGCUUUACUUGCCGGCCUGCCUCUGGGAACUCCUCCGUCUGCUGAUGUGCUCUCAGGCCCCCUGCUCUGGGCUCCCGGCACUUCCCCUCCCCUCCUGAGGGACUCCACAUGUUUCUCCCA
Molecule: long non-coding RNA, 318 nt
Organism: Bubalus bubalis (water buffalo)
Lineage: Eukaryota; Metazoa; Chordata; Mammalia; Artiodactyla; Bovidae
Exons: 3
Source: RefSeq, a predicted model, not a curated record